UACGUAGGGACCAAGCGUUGUUCGGAUUUACUGGGCGUAAAGAGCGCGUAGGCGGUGCGGUAAGUCACUUGUGAAAUCUCUGAGCUUAACUCAGAACGGCCAAGUGAUACUGCAGUACUAGAGUGCGGAAGGGGCAAUCGGAAUUCUUGGUGUAGCGGUGAAAUGCGUAGAUAUCAAGAGGAACACCUGAGGUGAAGACGGGUUGCUGGGCCGACACUGACGCUGAUGCGCGAAAGCCAGGGGAGCAAACGGG
RNAcentral lists this ribosomal RNA (253 nucleotides) under uncultured bacterium. RNAcentral's name for it is "partial 16S ribosomal RNA". It matches the Rfam family "Bacterial small subunit ribosomal RNA", at positions 524 to 776 of the family's 1533-position model. The record is from RNAcentral.